RNAcentral lists this long non-coding RNA (254 nucleotides) under Lathyrus oleraceus (garden pea). Its description in RNAcentral is "Pisum sativum (pea) long non-coding RNA (PSAT_LNC008140)". Lineage: Eukaryota; Viridiplantae; Streptophyta; Magnoliopsida; Fabales; Fabaceae. The record is from RNAcentral.
UUGAACAUAAUAGUGUGUUACAAAACUAGAAUAUUGUUUUACAAUUUGACCAUGAAAAUUAUAAUCUAGUACCAACCCCAAAAUACUAUCAUAGACAACUUGUCCAUAAACUGUUACAAACUAUUACAAAUAUAACAAUGUUAAAGACUAUAUUCAAGCUUAACAUCUUCGUAAAGGUUUCAUUGCACAUGAAAUAUACAUAUCUUAGACCAAGUCUUCAAUUUUCUAAUGAAAUCCACACAUGUUCCAAUCUU